Molecule: non-coding RNA, 73 nt
Organism: Podarcis lilfordi (Lilford's wall lizard)
Lineage: Eukaryota; Metazoa; Chordata; Lepidosauria; Squamata; Lacertidae
Source: the annotation of a GenBank genome assembly
UUUCCAUAGCUCAGUUGGUUGAGCAUGGUGCUGAUAACGCCAAGGUUGCAGAUUCAGUCCCUGCAUGGGACAG